This 933-nucleotide ribosomal RNA is filed under the name uncultured bacterium. RNAcentral's name for it is "bacterial SSU rRNA". It matches the Rfam family "Bacterial small subunit ribosomal RNA", at positions 46 to 983 of the family's 1533-position model. The record is from RNAcentral.
GCCUAACACAUGCAAGUCGAACGGAGAGCUUCCAGGUAUUUAUACCCAGAAGUUUCUUAGUGGCGAACGGGUGAGUAACGCGUUGGUGACCUGCCCCGAAGCGGGGGACAACUCCGGGAAACUGGAGCUAAUACCCUAUGUGGUCACGAGGGUUAGAGGCCUCGUGUCUAAAGGUUUCGAUCACUUCGGGAGGGGCCUGCGUCCCAUCAGCUUGUUGGUAGGGUAACGGCCUACCAAGGCGACGACGAGUAGGGGGCCUGAGAGGGUGACCCCCCACAAUGGAACUGAAACACGGUCCAUACACCUACGGGUGGCAGCAGUAGGGAAUAUUGCCCAAUGGGCGAAAGCCUGAGGCAGCAACGCCGCGUGUGCGAUGAAGGCCUUCGGGUUGUAAAGCACUUUUCUGAGGGAAGAGGAAGGACGGUACCUCAGGAAUAAGGCUCGGCUAACUACGUGCCAGCAGCCGCGGUAAAACGUAGGAGCCAAGCGUUAUCCGAAUUUACUGGGCGUAAAGCGCGUGCAGGCGGUGUGGUAAGUUGGAUGUGAAAGCUCCCGGCUCAACUGGGAGAGGCCGUUCAAUACUGCCACACUCGAGGACGGUAGAGGGAGGUGGAAUUCCCGGUGUAGUGGUGAAAUGCGUAGAUAUCGGGAGGAACACCAGUGGCGAAGGCGGCCUCCUGGGCCGUUCCUGACGCUCAGACGCGAAAGCUAGGGGAGCGAACGGGAUUAGAAACCCCGGUAGUCCUAGCCGUAAACGAUGUAGACUUGGUGUCGGUGGUGUAAGAGCCAUCGGUGCCGUAGCUAACGCGAUAAGUCUACCGCCUGGGGACUACGGCCGCAAGGUUAAAACUCAAAGGAAUUGACGGGGACCCGCACAAGCAGCGGAGCGUGUGGUUUAAUUCGAUGCUACGCGAAGAACCUUACCCGGGCUUG